AUCAGAACUGAAAAUAAAUCAUAUUAAUACGCUGUCAUCAGAAACAAGUACACUUUGAUACGCUAAUACACAUUACUUCAGGUUCAGUGCACCUAAACACUGCUGCAUAUUGACAUGUUGCAACAUCUCUCUGUCAGGGUGAUAAGCAUCCCAGUGAGUGCUGCACUGGCUGAGGAAGUGCUUUACAGAAGGGCUGACUUGAUGUUUCAUGCUACAGUGAAGUAUUUCACAGUGGGAAAAGCCAGGAUUCUGAUCCCCCUGCCCCGUAAACACGUGCUCUUGACUGAAAACAUCUGAUGCAUCAGCAGUGCCAGGACUGGGCACGCAGCUGAUCCUGCUGUCUCCACGGGAGGGCAGAGCUGCUCACAUAUUAGACAUUAUGACACAAGAACAUUUACAUCAUCUUAUAAAGUCUGUGACUUCAGUAUCAGAUAUCCCUUAUACAGCUACAAACAACUUUGGUUGGAGGAAUCAAAGCUUGCUAUAAAUAGACGUCAGGCAGCUGUAGGAGCAAAUGCACAGCUCCACUCUUAAGAAUGACCUGUAAAAGACAACAGCUAAAUUCACCUCUGCAAACUGCAGCUGUAGUCUCACAGUCAGGAUAAGGAAAUUCCAAGAGCAAAUGACUGAGGAGGCAAUGAGAUAGGCUGGAAGGGUAUUUACAGAGGACUUCACACAGCAACAACACAUAAUGGAAACCUGGAAGGUCCAACCUCUGCUGCCACACCACCAUAAUAAAACAGGAGGCAUUACUUCUGGAGCAGCCUUUGUACAUUAAAAGAUGGUGACGGUAGUUCCAAAAUGGGGAGUCUCACUCACUGUGCUUCCAAAAUCACUGACGGCAGAAGGUGGGCUAUAAGGAAGCUGUUUGCUACAAAUGUGAUGCUGCCAACCUAACGGUAACUGUUUGAUCCCCUCAGUGGUUAAUGGUCAGCAUGUUGCAGAAGGGCACUGAUCAAUUCAUGAAUUCCAAAUAUGGAUACUUUUCCUCUCAGAACUCUAUCGUCCAAGAAGAGUUAUGAGGUAUAUGGAGCCUACUACCCUCAUUAAGCCACCCCCAUCCACAUGGAGCCUGAAGGUUUCUGACUGUUCACAACCUAGGGUGGCUUUCGGUCUGAGCUGUACUGAUAAUACAUCACUGAGGAUCACCACUGCAUACAGGACAGCAGAGGCUCUAUUUAAGAAUGUCUGGUUCAGGACCAAGCCAGUAUUUUCUCACGUGCACUGCAAAACAUUUAAA
This is a long non-coding RNA of Gallus gallus (chicken), 1240 nucleotides long. The record is from Ensembl. Lineage: Eukaryota; Metazoa; Chordata; Aves; Galliformes; Phasianidae.